GACGAACGCUGGCGGCGUGCUUAACACAUGCAAGUCGAACGGUAAGGCCCUUCGGGGUACACGAGUGGCGAACGGGUGAGUAACACGUGGGUGAUCUGCCCUGCACUUCGGGAUAAGCCUGGGAAACUGGGUCUAAUACCGGAUAGGACCCUGGGAUGCAUGUCCUGGGGUGGAAAGCUUUUGCGGUGUGGGAUGGGCCCGCGGCCUAUCAGCGUGUUGGUGGGGUGAUGGCCGACCAAGGCGACGACGGGUAGCCGGCCUGGGAGGGUGAACGGCCACACUGGGACUGCGAAGCGGCCCAGACUCCUACAGGAGGCAGCAGUGGGGAAUAUUGCACACGGGGAGCAAGCCUGAUGCAGCGACGCCGCGUGAGGGAUGACGGCCUUCGGGUUGUAAACCUCUUUCAGCACCGACGAAGCGCAAGUGACGGUAGGUGCAGAAGAAGGACCGGCCAACUACGUGCCAGCCGCCGCGGUAA
Molecule: ribosomal RNA, 478 nt
Filed under: uncultured bacterium
Lineage: Bacteria
Description: partial 16S ribosomal RNA
Rfam family: Bacterial small subunit ribosomal RNA
Source: RNAcentral